Molecule: ribosomal RNA, 403 nt
Filed under: uncultured bacterium
Lineage: Bacteria
Description: bacterial SSU rRNA
Rfam family: Bacterial small subunit ribosomal RNA
Source: RNAcentral
CGGGCUUGAAUUGCACUGGACAGGCUAAGAGAUUAGUUUUUCUUCGGACCAGUGUGAAGGUGCUGCAUGGUUGUCGUCAGCUCGUGCCGUGAGGUGUCGGCUUAAGUGCCAUAACGAGCGCAACCCUUGCCUUCAGUUGCCAUCAGUAUUAAGCUGGGCACUCUGUAGGGACUGCCAUCGCAAGAUGUGAGGAAGGUGGGGAUGACGUCAAAUCAGCACGGCCCUUACGUCCGGGGCUACACACGUGUUACAAUGGGGGGCACAGCGCGGAGCUACCUGGUGACAGGGUGCGAAUCGUGAAAUCCCCUCUCAGUUCGGACUGGAGUCUGCAACCCGACUCCACGAAGCUGGAUUCGCUAGUAAUCGCGCAUCAGCCAUGGCGCGGUGAAUACGUUCCCGGGCC